CGAUCUGAUGGCGACCGGCGUACGGGUGAGUAACACGUAUGCAACCUGCCCCUGUCAGGGGGACAACCCGCCGAAAGGCGGGCUAAACCCGCGUACAUGCCACCGGGGCAUCCCGGAGGCAGGAAAGGCUUCGGCCGGACAGGGAUGGGCAUGCGGCGCAUUAGGCAGUAGGCGGGGUAACGGCCCACCUAACCGACGAUGCGUAGGGGUUCUGAGAGGAAGGUCCCCCACACUGGUACUGAGACACGGACCAGACUCCUACGGGAGGCAGCAG
RNAcentral lists this ribosomal RNA (274 nucleotides) under uncultured bacterium. RNAcentral describes it as "partial 16S ribosomal RNA". It matches the Rfam family "Bacterial small subunit ribosomal RNA", at positions 81 to 354 of the family's 1533-position model. The record is from RNAcentral.